UACGUAGGGGGCAAGCGUUGUCCGGAUUUAUUGGGCGUAAAGAGCGUGUAGGCGGCCAGACAGGUCCGUUGUGAAAACUCGAGGCUCAACCUCGAGAUGUCGAUGGAAACCGUCUGGCUAGAGUCCGGAAGAGGAGUGUGGAAUUCCUGGUGUAGCGGUGAAAUGCGCAGAUAUCAGGAAGAACACCUAUGGCGAAGGCAGCACUCUGGGACGGUACUGACGCUGAGACGCGAAAGCGUGGGGGAGCGAACAGG
This 254-nucleotide ribosomal RNA is filed under the name uncultured bacterium. RNAcentral's name for it is "partial 16S ribosomal RNA". It matches the Rfam family "Bacterial small subunit ribosomal RNA", at positions 524 to 776 of the family's 1533-position model. The record is from RNAcentral.